AGUGAACGCUGGCGGUAGGCCUAACASAUGCAAGUCGAACGGCAGCACAGUAGGAGCUUGCUCUUACGGGUGGCGAGUGGCGGACGGGUGAGGAAUACAUCGGAAUCUACCUUUUGGUGGGGGAUAACGUAGGGAAACUUACGCUAAUACCGCAUACGCCCUUCGGGGGAAAGCCGGGGACCAGCAAUGGCCUGGCGCUGAUAGAUGAGCCGAUGUCGGAUUAGCUAGUUGGUGAGGUAAUGGCUCACCAAGGCGACGAUCCGUAGCUGGUCUGAGAGGAUGAUCAGCCACACUGGAACUGAGACACGGUCCAGACUCCUACGGGAGGCAGCAGUGGGGAAUAUUGGACAAUGGGCGCAAGCCUGAUCCAGCCAUACCGCGUGGGUGAAGAAGGCCUUCGGGUUGUAAAGCCCUUUUGUUGGGAAAGAAAAGCAUUCGGUUAAUACCCGGGUGUUCUGACGGUACCCAAAGAAUAAGCACCGGCUAACUUCGUGCCAGCAGCCGCGGUAAUACGAAGGGUGCAAGCGUUACUCGGAAUUACUGGGCGUAAAGCGUGCGUAGGUGGUGGUUUAAGUCCGUUGUGAAAGCCCUGGGCUCAACCUGGGAAUUGCAGUGGAUACUGGAUCACUAGAGUGUGGUAGAGGAUAGUGGAAUUUCCGGUGUAGCAGUGAAAUGCGUAGAGAUCGGAAGGGAACAUCUGUGGCGA
This 706-nucleotide ribosomal RNA is filed under the name uncultured Pseudoxanthomonas sp. RNAcentral's name for it is "bacterial SSU rRNA". It matches the Rfam family "Bacterial small subunit ribosomal RNA", at positions 28 to 718 of the family's 1533-position model. Lineage: Bacteria; Pseudomonadati; Pseudomonadota; Gammaproteobacteria; Lysobacterales; Lysobacteraceae. The record is from RNAcentral.